Small nucleolar RNA from Octodon degus (degu), 132 nucleotides. NCBI's taxonomy places the organism in Eukaryota, Metazoa, Chordata, Mammalia, Rodentia, Octodontidae. The record is from Ensembl.
GGCACUUAUAUGUGUUUUUCUCUUACUUCUGUGGACUAAAACCUAAAUGAACAGGUGCAAAACAUAAAUCCACUUUGGCAACCCAGAAAUCGUUGUUUGGUAUGAUUUUUGAUACAUUAAGGAAAGAAUACU